UACGGGGGGAGCAAGCGUUGUUCGGAUUUACUGGGCGUAAAGGGCGCGUAGGCGGUCAGCACAAGUCAGUUGUGAAAUCUCCGGGCUUAACUCGGAACGGUCAAGUGAUACUGUCGCGCUAGAGUGCGGAAGGGGCAAUCAGAAUUCUUGGUGUAGCGGUGAAAUGCGUAGAUAUCAAGAGGAAUACCUGAGGUGAAGACGGGUUGCUAGGCCGACACUGACGCUGAAGCGCGAAAGCCAGGGGAGCGAACGGG
Molecule: ribosomal RNA, 254 nt
Filed under: uncultured bacterium
Lineage: Bacteria
Description: partial 16S ribosomal RNA
Rfam family: Bacterial small subunit ribosomal RNA
Source: RNAcentral